GACGAACGCUGGCGGCGUGCUUAACACAUGCAAGUCGAACGGUGAUGCUCCAGCUUGCUGGCGUGGAUCAGUGGCGAACGGGUGAGUAACACGUGAGCAACCUGCCCCAGACUCUGGAAUAAGCGCUGGAAACGGCGUCUAAUACUGGAUACGAAACUGGCCCGCAUGGGCAUGGUUUGGAAAGUUUUUCGGUUUGGGAUGGGCUCGCGGCCUAUCAGCUUGUUGGUGAGGUAAUGGCUCACCAAGGCGAGGACGGGUAGCCGGCCUGAGAGGGCGACCGGGCCCAGGGGGGAAUGGGACACGGCCGGACGCCGGCGGGGGGAAGGGGGGGGGAAAUUGUCCAAAUGGGCCAAAGGCGUGUGGAGGGACGCCGGGGGGGGGAGGACGGCCUUUGGGUUGGAAAACCCUUUCGGGAGGGAAGAAGGGGAAGGAACGGUCCCGGCAAAAAAAGCCCCGGUUAACUCGGG
RNAcentral lists this ribosomal RNA (467 nucleotides) under uncultured bacterium. RNAcentral's name for it is "partial 16S ribosomal RNA". It matches the Rfam family "Bacterial small subunit ribosomal RNA", at positions 28 to 506 of the family's 1533-position model. The record is from RNAcentral.